Molecule: ribosomal RNA, 569 nt
Filed under: uncultured bacterium
Lineage: Bacteria
Description: bacterial SSU rRNA
Rfam family: Bacterial small subunit ribosomal RNA
Source: RNAcentral
UGCAAGUCGCACGAGAAGGGACUUCGGUCUCGAGUAAAGUGGCGCACGGGUGAGUAACACGUAGCUAACAUACCCUCACGCUGGGGAUAACUCCGGGAAACCGGAGCUAAUACCGAAUGAGCUGCGCAGAUCUUUGGAUCUGUUCGGCAAAGCCUUCGGGCGCGUGAGAAUUGGGCUGCGGCCGAUUAGCUAGUUGGUGGGGUAAUGGCCCACCAAGGCUUCGAUCGGUAGCUGGUCUGAGAGGACGAUCAGCCACACUGGAACUGGAACACGGUCCAGACUCCCACGGGAGGCAGCAGUUGGGAAUUUUGGACAAUGGGGGCAACCCUGAUCCAGCAAUCCCGCGUGAGUGACGAAGGCCUUCGGGUCGUAAAGCUCUUUUAGCAGGGACGAAGGGAAACUUGACGGUACCUGCAGAAAAAGCACCGGCUAACUACGUGCCAGCAGCCGCGGUAAUACGUAGGGUGCAAGCGUUGUUCGGAAUCAUUGGGCGUAAAGCGCGUGUAGGCGGUUCGCUAAGUCUGGUGUGAAAGCCCGAGGCUUAACUUCGGAAGUGCACUGGAUACUGG